CCGAGCACGCGCGUGUGGCAUAUCAAUAAGCGGAGGAAAAGAAACUAACAAGGAUUCCCUUAGUAACGGCGAGUGAAGCGGGAAGAGCUCAAAUUUGAAAUCUUCAAGGUUUUACCUUGACGAAUUGUAGUUUAAAGAAGUGUUUUCUGUUGGGAGUUUUCGGUAAAAGUUCUUUGGAAUAGGACAUCAUAGAGGGUGAGAAUCCCGUAUUUGACCAUUUCUUCCAGCUGUGUGAUACACUUUCAAAGAGUCGGAUUGUUUGGGAAUGCAGUCCAAAAUGGGUGGUAAAUUUCAUCUAAAGCUAAAUAUUGGCGAGAGACCGAUAGCGAACAAGUACCGUGAGGGAAAGAUGAAAAGAACUUUGAAAAGGAGAGUUAAACAGUACGUGAAAUUGUCAAAAGGGAAGCGUUUGACACCAGUGUUGUUUUUCCGAAAAUCAAUUACGAAUGUUUUGUUUUUGAGGAGUUAUGACUUCCAUCGGCUUGCUUCUUUCUUUACGAAACUUUCUUAAUGCACUUUUCGGUUAACAAGUCGACAUCAAUUUCUUUUGUUGUAAAAGGGUAUGAGGAAGGUGGCUUUCUUUUCGGAGAAAGUGUUUAUAGCCUUGUAGCCUCUGCAAUCGGAGAGAUUGAGGUCUGCAGCGUAGAUCCUUCGGGGUUAGAUACAUUUGUGCUAAGUUAUAGCUUUUCAUAGACAACUUGUUGACUAUGUUUAGUCUUGUAGCUUACUCGCUUAUGCUAUUUUACCUACGCUUAGGAUGUUGAACUCUAUCACACACAG
RNAcentral lists this ribosomal RNA (780 nucleotides) under uncultured Neocallimastigales. RNAcentral describes it as "partial large subunit ribosomal RNA". It matches the Rfam family "Eukaryotic large subunit ribosomal RNA", at positions 19 to 621 of the family's 3401-position model. Lineage: Eukaryota; Fungi; Neocallimastigomycota; Neocallimastigomycetes; Neocallimastigales. The record is from RNAcentral.